Molecule: long non-coding RNA, 739 nt
Organism: Oncorhynchus keta (chum salmon)
Lineage: Eukaryota; Metazoa; Chordata; Actinopteri; Salmoniformes; Salmonidae
Exons: 3
Source: RefSeq, a predicted model, not a curated record
GUUAUUUUAAUUGAAUGUGUCUAAACUUCAGGCUGUGGAAAAAACUAAAGCAGGAAAACAAGAAGCAGUUGUUUAUUUUUUAAUUUUACAUUUGAGUCAUUUAUAGUGAAUUACAGUCCCAGCUAGGUGGUGGGACAACCACAUACAGCAUCUCAGUCCCAGCUAGGUGGUGGGACAACCACAUACAGCAUCUCAGUCCCAGCUAGGUGGUGGGACAACCACAUACAGCAUCUCAGUCCCAGCUAGGUGGUGGGACAACCACAUACAGCAUCUCAGUCCCAGCUAGGUGGUGGGACAACCACAUACAGCAUCUCAGUCCCAGCUAGGUGGUGGGACAACCACAUACAGCAUCUCAGUCCCAGCUAGGUGGUGGGACAACCACAUACAGCAUCUCAGUCCCAGCUAGGUGGUGGGACAACCACAUACAGUAUCUCAGUCCCAGCUAGGUGGUGGGACAACCACAUACAGCAUCUCAGUCCCAGCUAGGUGGUGGGACAACCACAUACAGUAUCUCAGUCCCAGCUAGGUGGUGGGACAACCACAUACAGUAUCUCAGUCCCAGCUAGGUGGUGGGACAACCACAUACAGUAUCUCAGUAAUAGUUAGCUACUUUAUUCCGGAAAAAUGUACUAACUAUCAGCAAAGUCUGUGGUAGUAAUAUAAGUGUGGGUGUUGGACCUCCGUAAGGGAUAGGGCUAUAUGACGUGCUGUGGAUAAUUCUCUGAGUAGUUGGAGACAU